RNAcentral lists this ribosomal RNA (639 nucleotides) under uncultured eukaryote. RNAcentral's name for it is "SSU rRNA". It matches the Rfam family "Eukaryotic small subunit ribosomal RNA", at positions 601 to 1234 of the family's 1831-position model. The record is from RNAcentral.
GUACGUAAGUUGUUGCAGUUAAAAAGCUCGUAGUUGGAUCUCAGGCUUGUGGCCGGUGGUCCGCUCGAUACGGGUGUGCACUGCCGUGUCCGGCCUACGUCUGGUCUAACGUCCAUAGUGCCCUUAACCGGGUGCUAUGGAAUGCCAGAAAGUUUACUCUGAAAAAAUUAGAGUGCUCAAAGCAAGCCGUUUGUGCUUGAAUACUGUUGCAUGGAAUAAUGGAAUAGGACCUCGGUUCUAUUUUGUUGGUUUUCGGAGUCGAGGUAAUGAUUAAGAGGGACAGACGGGGGCAUUCGUAUUGCGCCGUUAGAGGUGAAAUUCUUGGAUCGGCGCAAGACGAACAACUGCGAAAGCAUUUGCCAAGGAUGUUUUCAUUAAUCAAGAACGAAAGUCAGAGGUUCGAAGACGAUCAGAUACCGUCGUAGUUCUGACCAUAAACGAUGCCAACUGGCGAUCCGCCGCAGUCUGGCUUAAAGGACUCGGCGGGCAGCCUCCGGGAAACCUAAGUCUAUGGGUUCCGGGGGAAGUAUGGUUGCAAAGCUGAAACUUAAAGGAAUUGACGGAAGGGCACCACCAGGAGUGGAGCCUGCGGCUUAAUUUGACUCAACACGGGAAAACUCACCCGGGCCAGGACACCGU